UACAGGGGGGGCAAGCGUUGUUCGGAAUUACUGGGCGUAAAGGGCUCGUAGGUGGCCAACUAAGUCAGACGUGAAAUCCCUCAGCUUAACUGGGGAACUGCGUCUGAUACUGGAUGGCUUGAGUUUGGGAGAGGGAUGCGGAAUUCCAGGUGUAGCGGUGAAAUGCGUAGAUAUCUGGAGGAACACCGGUGGCGAAGGCGGCAUCCUGGACCAACACUGACACUGAGGAGCGAAAGCCAGGGAGCAAACGGG
RNAcentral lists this ribosomal RNA (252 nucleotides) under uncultured bacterium. RNAcentral's name for it is "partial 16S ribosomal RNA". It matches the Rfam family "Bacterial small subunit ribosomal RNA", at positions 524 to 776 of the family's 1533-position model. The record is from RNAcentral.